RNAcentral lists this ribosomal RNA (133 nucleotides) under uncultured bacterium. RNAcentral describes it as "partial 16S ribosomal RNA". The record is from RNAcentral.
UACUCUUGCGGUACGUCAUUAUCUUCCCGCACAAAAGAGCUUUACAACCCUAGGGACUUCAUCACUCACGCGGCAUGGCUGGAUCAGGGUUGCCCCCAUUGUCCAAUAUUCCCCACUGCUGCCUCCCGUAGGA